This 1645-nucleotide long non-coding RNA is filed under the name Homo sapiens (human). Its description in RNAcentral is "HSALNT0174474". The record is from RNAcentral. Lineage: Eukaryota; Metazoa; Chordata; Mammalia; Primates; Hominidae.
GUAUGUCUUGAGAUCUAGUACAAAGAUUCUGGGACAAGAAUAUUCGUGCUUUGUUUAGGGAACAGCAAGAGAAGUCACAGUUACUGGAGCAGAGUGACAGAUAAAGGGAGAGGUAAGAAAACAGGUAUAAAGGGAGUGAGAGACCAGCCCAUGUUGAUUGAAUGUGUGGAUAUAGAUCUCACAGAUGUGGAGGGCUGGCUGUGUACACACACAGGGAGAAGACUGUAUGAAGAUACCAGCAAAAGGCAGCCAUCUACAAGCCAAAGAGAGAAGCCUUGGGAUGAACUAAUCCUGCUGAAAUCAUGACCUUGCAUAUUUUGCCUCUAGAAUUGUGAGAAAAUAAAGUUCUGUGCUUUAAGGCACCCUGUCUGUGGUCCCUUGUUAUGGUAGCUUAAGCAAAUAUAUAGGAAAAGUUUGGAGUCUCCUAAAGACUCCCAAAUAUGUUCAGUAAGCUAUCUUCAUAAGAAUUAUAAUAUAUACAUCAUCAUGAAAUAGAUGACAGAUGAGAAAUCAAUCAGAUAAGAACAUUAAGAGUGCUUACUGUGUACCAGGAAAUAUUCUGUGAGUUGGGAAUAAGACAAUGUCCAAGACAGAUUGAAUGCAUGAAUCUUAUUUCCUGGUGCUUGAAUUCUCACUUAAAAAAAACAACAACAGGAUAAAAAGUGAUACGUUGGAAGUGAAUAGUCCACUUCAUUCAUAUUGGGCAUUUAGAAAAAGCCUCUCUGAACAGUAAUUUUUGUGCUGAGAACUAAAUGACAAAAAUAUGUCAACCAUGCAAAUUGGGGGUGGCGUGGGCUAAAAGUUUCAGGCAGAAGAGACAGCCUGUAUAAAGGUACAGAAAUAAAAUUGAGCUUGGCUUGUCCAAGGGACAGACAGAACAUAUUAUUUCUGGAGUAUCUUUAGUGAGGAGUGAAUUUUAUGUGAUGUGAUAUCAGAGGUAGACAAGUGUCAAGAGAGUGUGGGCCAUGGUGAGGAGCUUGGAUUUUAUUCUAAGUGGGUUGAAAAGCAGGUGGGCAGUAUGUUCCAUUUUUCAUUAUAAAAGAUCAUUUGGGCAGCUGUGUGGUAACUGAUGAAAGUGUGUGGGAAUGGAGGCAGGGAAAAAGUGAAGAGGUUAUUGUGGAGAUGUUUCCAAUUACUCUUCCCUCAUUUUUCAAAUCGCAGCUCAGUGUCACCUCCUCUGGAUGUUUGCCUGUAUUCAUGGACAAUACUCAAUUGCUGACUCCUCUUGGAUUUCCCAGCAUGUGUUUAAACCUUUAAGAUGGCACCUAUUAUAUUGAUACUAUGUUUUUCUGCCCUGUAUUCUGAGAACAGCAAAUAUUGGUGAAUUUGUAACUAUGUCUUAUUUUUCCUUAUAAUCUCUGUGUCUAUCAUAGGCUUUGGCAUGUAAUAGGUUCUUGGUAAACCUAUUUAUCUAGUUGAUUAAAUAAAUAAGUUGUAUUAUUUGUACUUGUUGUAUAAGUUAUAUAAUAUAUGUGUUCAAAGAUACAGUCACAGUAAGAGCCAGAGAGGACAGGAUCAGAAUGGAUUCAGAUUUCACCACAAGUGAAGAUACUCUAGUCAAAUUAUGAAGACAAUCAGAAAAUUAAAAGAUUUCUUUGCCCAUUUUCAAUUGCCUUUUGCAAAGGGAAAGCUCGUGCCAAGACAC